AUUGAACGCUGGCGGCAGGCUUAACACAUGCAAGUCGAGCGGGGUGAUGGUGCUUGCACUAUCACUUAGCGGCGGACGGGUGAGUAAUGCUUAGGAAUCUGCCUAUUAGUGGGGGACAACAUCUCGAAAGGGAUGCUAAUACCGCAUACGUCCUACGGGAGAAAGCAGGGGAUCACUUGUGACCUUGCGCUAAUAGAUGAGCCUAAGUCGGAUUAGCUAGUAGGUGGGGUAAUGGCUCACCUAGGCGACGAUCCCUAGCUGGUCUGAGAGGAUGACACGCCACACUGGAACUGAGACACGGUCCAGACUCCUACGGGAGGCAGCAGUGGGGAAUAUUGCACAAUGGGCGCAAGCCUGAUGCAGCCAUGCCGCGUGUAUGAAGAAGGCCUUCGGGUUGUAAAGUACUUUCAGCGGGGAGGAAGGUGUUGAGGUUAAUAACCUCAGCAAUUGACGUUACCCGCAGAAGAAGCACCGGCUAACUCCGUGCCAGCAGCCGCCGUAA
RNAcentral lists this ribosomal RNA (502 nucleotides) under uncultured bacterium. RNAcentral's name for it is "partial 16S ribosomal RNA". It matches the Rfam family "Bacterial small subunit ribosomal RNA", at positions 30 to 523 of the family's 1533-position model. The record is from RNAcentral.